CAGCCGCCGCGGGAAUACGAAGGGGGCUAGCGUUGCUCGGAAUGACUGGGCGUAAAGGGCGCGUAGGCGGUUUGUACAGUUGGGUGUGAAAUUCCUGGGCUUAACCUGGGGGCUGCACCCAAGACGUGCAGGCUUGAGUGUGGAAGAGGGUCGUGGAAUUCCCAGUGUAGAGGUGAAAUUCGUAGAUAUUGGGAAGAACACCGGUGGCGAAGGCGGCGACCUGGUCCAUUACUGACGCUGAGGCGCGAAAGCGUGGGGAGCAAACAGGAUUAGAUACCCGUGUAGUCCCUGUCUCUUAUAC
Molecule: ribosomal RNA, 301 nt
Filed under: uncultured bacterium
Lineage: Bacteria
Description: partial 16S ribosomal RNA
Rfam family: Bacterial small subunit ribosomal RNA
Source: RNAcentral